This is a non-coding RNA of Camelina sativa (false flax), 877 nucleotides long. The record is from RefSeq and is a predicted model, not a curated record. Lineage: Eukaryota; Viridiplantae; Streptophyta; Magnoliopsida; Brassicales; Brassicaceae.
UUCACUCUAUUUCACAUCUACGAAAACAUUGACGAGCUCCAAAUUUGAAAUUUGAAAACAUUGGAGAGAGAGAGAUGAAGUUUAUUCAAAUUCCCAGGAAAAAAUUCGCGCGCUCAUCGGAUCUCUCGGAGCGAAGGGAGUCAGGAUCCUGAGAUGAAGAAUCGCAAGGUUGCAGAGAAGAGACAGAGCGCUGACGUUUCUUUUGAAAGCACGAAGGAUCCAAUCGAAUUUACUCCGAUCUCUCAUUCCGAGGCUGCGGUAAGCUUCUCUCCGUGUUUCGUGUCCGUUCGACGUUUUCUCUGUUCUGUUGCUUUGCAAACGGCUCAGAUCUGUUCAUCUCAGAUGUUUAUUUUUGGUUGAAAUUGAAUCGAUUUUGGUCUGUGAGUGAUAACGAAAUCGAAGAAUUAAGCCCUAAUCGUAGCGAUUUUGUGUUAUUGGGUAAUUUAUUUGAUGAUGCUCGAAUUACUGUUUUCCUCAUAGUGUUGUUAACCAAGGAUCGAGCCUAGACUCGCCAGAGAUUUCUCUUCCCCAGUUUCAACCAUUACUACUAGUGUGGAGGCUCGUAUUGACACUUGUUCUACUGAUCGGAUCCAUUCCGAUUCUGUGCAAUCCUUGCGUGCAGAGAUCAACGAGCUUAAAAAAUUGAUCUGCUCAGUUGACACUUCUCAAGAAAGUAGCUGGGUCGAUGACUACUUCAGAACCACGAAGCAUGUAAAAAAAUUAGAAAAGAUCAGAUGCAAACAAUUCGUACACAGGUUUGUAUUUCAUGUUUGCCUCAGAACAGCGUUUAGUUGAUAUUAAAUUUACCAAAAGACUAAUAAUCAUUUCAUAUUAGCAAUUCAAAGUAGACCGUUGAAAAUACAAUGAUUGAGCAUCA